GUGGUUCCAUAAUGGGUGAUGAGUGUAUUGAUGUGGAUGUUCAAGACAUCAUCCAACAUAAUAAUAGGAAUCAAAAUGAGGAUUGUUAGCAUGAAGAUUGUAAUAGCAGUAGUAACAAGGGUCGAAGAUCUUUCUUUCCAUUUCGUUAUUGUAGGGUAUAAAAAACCGCAUUACUUCCUCUUGAGAAUGGUGUUUAAUAAUACUAUAAUGUAAACUUGUAAUGUGAAGUGAUGUGGUAAUUUGAUUUUCAUUCUUUUUUCUUUAUGUUGCGUUCAAAAUUUCCAUUCCAGUUAUGUCGGUAAGGAGUGACAGAAACGAUAUGAGGAAAAUAAGAUGUAUUGCUUUCAUAGAGCUGGUAUGUGAUACUGUCAAAAAAGAAUUGCUUUUUGUCUAUCAAUUGUCAUUACUUAAAAUCACAAAUGAAAGCAAAUGAUUACUUGCACGCACACAACUUUCAUUCAUGUUCAAUUCAUGGUCCCUCUGUUCUUACUUUGAGUGUCACCUGGGCCAAGGGAUUUUGAAGGGGCAAGAAGUGAAGAAAGCAGGGUAGGUAAUCAUUGGAAGGCAGAGCAUACAGGGACAAAGAGAAUGAGAAGCCACUAGGAAAUUAUAUCACAACAUUAAGUGUGGUUUUACUUUCUUUGUUUUUCUUUUUGAAGCCAACUUGGUAUGGUUUAUGUUUUAACUUAGAGAGAGGAAGAAGAAAGAAAGAUCAGAGAGGAAGAAGAAGGAAAUAGUGGUUUUUAAAAAUUGAUGUUUACGUUUUUUUAAUUACAUCCCUAUGUAAAAAUAUGUUUUUGGUUUUAGUCCCUCUACUUAAUCCAGUUGGCAACUGUUGCCAUAUCAGCAUGUGCCACGUAGGCGUCCAUUAGUCAGCAAAGCAUUUCUUUCACGGAACCUGACAGCAGGAACAAGUUCCAAAACGUAUGGUAAUUACAAGGGCUAUUUCGCAAGAAAAAAACUUACACGAACUUAAACCAAAAAUGCGUCAACUUACAAGGACCUUUUACUUAUUUAAGCCAAGAUUUUAUUUGAAUCCUCUCAUUCUCUCAUUCUUCCUCCUUCCACUGAUACAUCUAUCUCUUUUUAAAUAUUAGAGAGAAGAUCAAGAGGAAAAAAAAAAAUUAAAUAAGAAGAUCAAGAGAGAGAUAAAAACAAAUUUUAAAAGAAGGGAAGGAGAGAAUGAGAGGAUAUUAAAUUACCUAUUUUUUGCUAAUAACUAAUUAUACUAGGAAACUUAACCGGCCCUUUAGUGCAAUCUCCC
Molecule: long non-coding RNA, 1264 nt
Filed under: Medicago truncatula (barrel medic)
Lineage: Eukaryota; Viridiplantae; Streptophyta; Magnoliopsida; Fabales; Fabaceae
Description: long non-coding RNA (MTRU_LNC001018)
Source: RNAcentral